This 387-nucleotide ribosomal RNA is filed under the name uncultured bacterium. Its description in RNAcentral is "bacterial SSU rRNA". It matches the Rfam family "Bacterial small subunit ribosomal RNA", at positions 28 to 417 of the family's 1533-position model. The record is from RNAcentral.
GACGAACGCUGGCGGCGUGCUUAACACAUGCAAGUCGAGCGGUAAGGCCCUUCGGGGUACGACGAGCGGCGAACGGGUGAGUAACACGUGGGUGACCUGCCUUUAGCUCUGGGAUAAGCCUGGGAAACUGGGUCUAAUACCGGAUAUGACCUCAUGACGCAUGUUGUGGGGUGGAAAGCCUUGUGCGGCUAGAGAUGGGCCCGCGGCCUAUCAGCUUGUUGGUGGGGUGANGGCCUACCAAGGCGACGACGGGUAGCCGGCCUGAGAGGGCGACCGGCCACACUGGGACUGAGACACGGCCCAGACUCCUACGGGAGGCAGCAGUGGGGAAUCUUGCGCAAUGGGCGAAAGCCUGACGCAGCGACGCCGCGUGAGGGAUGACGGCCU